This 43869-nucleotide long non-coding RNA is filed under the name Manihot esculenta (cassava). Its description in RNAcentral is "long non-coding RNA (MESC_LNC006708)". The record is from RNAcentral. Lineage: Eukaryota; Viridiplantae; Streptophyta; Magnoliopsida; Malpighiales; Euphorbiaceae.
GGGUGAUGGACGAUGACGCAGAUGCAACAAUGGCAGUAGCAGUAUCUCGAUUCCCGGCGGCAGUGGACUGGGAAGCAGACAAAUCUCGCGAAUCCAUGACCAGAUCCAAGAAAUCAGAAGGCGAGAAUUUUGGAACACCACUAUCGAGCAUCCGAAAUGUAUCAAAAUUAAACUAACACAUCUGAAAUCACAAUUUCAAAAUAUACAUCCAAAUCUGCAGUGACUGAGGACGCGGCGAGGAGCAGCACCGGACGGCAAGACUGGAGCAGAGGAAGCGGCGGAGAAGAGCAAAGAAGUAAGCAGACCAGCGGACGCAGGAACCGGAUGCAGAACGACGUGACAGCGUGGAGCAGAGGAAUGAUCGGCGGGAGGCGCACGGCUGUACCAGACGAGUGACGGAGAGGCCGAAUGGGGGAGGGGAGGGCGGCAGUAGACUUGAGAGUGAUUGAAGGGUUCUUUUGAUAGCUUUCAAUUAAGAUUUUACUUUUAUAGUUUAUAUUAUUUAAAAUGUUUUAUACUAUAUUUAUUAAUUUUGUCUUUAAUGGUAUAAUUUUUGUAAAAAUAAAUAAUAUAAUUUUAUUGUAUUAAAAUAUUAUAUUAUAUUAAUUUAUAAUAAUAAUAUUUUAAAUUAUUUUUUAAAAUAAAUUGUCUUAAAAAUAAGAAUAUACAUAAAAUUAUAAAAAAAAUAUUUUAACAGUAUAUUUAAUCUUAAUUUAAAAUUUUAAAUAAAAUAAAAUUUAAUUAAAAAUUAAAUAAAAUUUUAAAAAUAAAAUGGUCGCUGAUUGGUCGCUGUUUAGUCGCUGUUUAGCGACUAAACUAAUUGGUCGCUAAAUAUGGUCGCAAAAUAUUCCCGCCCAACAAGUAGUCGCAAUUUUGUCGCAAAUAUGAUCGCAAAUAUUUCGCGCCACUUAUUUCCGCUAAAUUUAGCGACGGUUUGAAAUUUGGUCGCUAAAUAGCGACCAAAUAACGACCAAUUUUUGGUCGUUGAGCUUUUUGUUAAAUAAAAAUAUUAUUUCAUUCGUGUAGUAGCAGAAUGGUCGCUGAUUGGUUGCUAUAUAGCGACCAAAAAUUUUGGUCGCUAAUUUUGGUCGCAAUUUCACAGUUUUUUUGUAGUGAAUUUGUCCCUGAUGCCCAAACAACCAAACCUAGCUCAUCAGUUGGGGGUAAGGAAAAAAUGACAGACUAUCUAAAGUUGGAUGCCCCCAAGUUUGAAACAGGUGAUGACCCUUUUGAAUACCUCAGAUCGGUGAAGAUGAUAACUGAUGAGUUGGGAGCAAAUGACAGUAGAGCCAUUCAGAUGGCAGGGUUCACAUUGAAAUGCAAGAAGGCAAGGGAAUGGUUCAAAGACUAUGUGGACCUAAGGUUGGAAAGCUUAUCCUGGGAACAGUUUGCCAAUGAGUUUACAGGAUGGGCUUUUCCAGAUAGUUCCAGAGAACUAAAGAUGAUUGAGUUUGAGCAACUAAGACAGACGGAAGAGAUGAGUGUAGAUGAGUUUACAGACAGGUUCCUGGAGUCGCUGUCAUUUGCAGGACAAGGUCUUGACACAGACCUGAAGAAGUCUAGGAGAUAUGUUAUGAAGCUUCACUCCAGGUACUCCUCGUUGAUUCAAUCAGUACAAAGGGAGAGCUUCCAUGCUAUAGUAGAUAUGGCACGGAGAAUGGAGGCUAGUGCCAUUAUCCGAGGGACAGUUAAGCAGUCAGUGGCAUAGUCUUCGGGUCUCAAAAUCUCGGGGACAAGUGAUGCUAAUCUCCCCUCUCUGGGCGAGGAUGUCACGAAAGGUAAGAAGGGAGACAGAGGUCUUAGAAGAUCAAAGAAGAACAAGUUCUGGAAUUGGAUAAAGUCUGGUCUGGGAUUAGGAGGAGGCUCGAGCUCAGGCACAGAGGUUGCAGAGUGUGCAAGGUGCGGUAGGCCGCACAAGGGAGUCUGUCGGUUUGGGACUACAGCAUGUUACAGAUGCGGCCAGGAGGGACACAUAGCUCGGGAGUGUCCUAAGGCAGCUUUUAUGGCACCGUCCCAUCAGACAACUCUAGGUAGUAUGGCACAGCCAUCAGCUCCAGCCAUGUUUCAGGGUAGUGGUCGAGGCAGAGAAAGGGGGACGGCCCCUCCUUCAGCAGGUUCCCUAGGUGAAGGUCCAUCAGUUCCAGCUCGGAUCUUCUCCAUGACGCAGCAAGAAGCUAACACACCAGACAUGAUAGUGACAGGUAAUCUCACUCUCUUAUGUUUGAUGUGUAUGCUUUUGUGAACCCUGAUGUGUUUCUCUUUCCUUGUGGCUUCGAGAGCCGUAGAUAGGUCGGAUUGAUAGCUUAUGGGUUAUGGUAUUCCCUUUGGGUCAGUGGACCCAAGUGUGAUCCAUCAGUGGCAGAGUCAGUCUGCCGGUAGAGUAGAUGCCUUCCAGCUAGCCUAGCGGUUCUAGAUUUGACUGUUUGACGUCAUUCUAGAGUUGGAUUGGUUCUUCUACUAGUGGUGCUACCUGAGUCCGCAGAGACAAGGUAGUCAGGUUCUGAGGUUAGGAUGGAUCAGAGUUAGUCCUCAGAGGGGGACGAAGUAGGGAUACCUAGAGGUUCGAUAUCAGCCCUGCAGGCUCAUAGGUUGGCCAGGAGAGGUUGUCAGGAGUUUCUAGGUCGUGCAGGAGAGUUCAGUAGUCAUGUUAGGGAGUUGCCUCGGUACCAGUAGUGAGUUCUUAGGUGUUUUUCCCAGACGAGCUGCUAGGUGUACCAUCUGUUAGGGAGAUAGAAUUUGAAAUGAAAGUGAUGAUAGGGACCAGCUCGUCUCUACCCCUCCCUACAGGAUGGCACUUACAGAAUUAAAGUAGUAGGAAGAGCAUGUUGUAAGAGUAGGUAGUUAAGGGUUUUCAUCCGACUGAGCACUUCGCCUUGGGGUGUUCCAGAGUUGUUAUGAGGAUGAAGGAUGGAUCCCUAGGACUUUGUAUCGACUACAAGUCGUUGAACAAAGUCACUACCCAGAAUAAGUAUUUGUUACCUUGGCUCGACGAUCUAUUUUAAACCAGCUAGCAGGAGCUGGUUGCCCCUCCAAGAUAGAUCUGAAGUCCAGGUACCAUCAGUUAAGAUCAAGGAAGAAGAUAUACAGAGAGCAGUGUUUAGAACCAGAUAUGGGCACUAUGAGCUUCUAGGAAUGUCGUUCGGGUUAAGGAAUGCCCCUACAACAUUCAUGGAUCUCAUAAACAGAGUUUUAGUCGGUUUCUGGAUCACUCCGUUAUUGUCUUCAUUGACAGUACCUCGGUGAGUCCCAGAAAUGCGGAAGAGUAUGCCCAUUAUCUGAAAUCCGGGUUGCAGACCUUGAGGGAACAUGGCUUGGAUGCCCAGUUCUCCAAGUGUGAGUCCUGGUUGAGGAGCAUUGCAUUCUUGGGAAACGUUGUAUCAGGAAGUGGAAUUGAAGUAUGCCCCAAGAAGGUAGAGACUGUAGUUACCUAGCUUAGACCCACCAAUGCAAGGAUCAAAGGUUUUGGGGUUUGGCGGGUUACUACAGGAGAUCCGUCCUGGACAUCUCUAGAAGUUGCCGCUCCUGUAACCAGACUGACCAAGAAGGACCAGAGGUUGUAUGGUCUGUUUAGAGAGAAGAAAGUUUUGAAAGCUAAGGAAAAUGUUGAUGUCAGCACCAGUGGUAGCUCUGUCCGCAAAAAAAAAAAAAAAAAAAAAGAAGAUUUCACAGUGUCCUGUGAUGCGUUCCGGGUGGAACUAGAUUGUGUGUAAGUGUGAAGUGGCAGGAUGAUUGCUUAUGCUUCUAGGUAGCUAAAGAAGCAUGAGUUGAAUCAUCUUAAACCUGAUCUAGAGAUGGCGAUGGUAAUCUCUGCACUCAAGAUGUGGAGGCGAUACCUGUAUAAGGUAUGAUGACAGAUCCUUACAGAUCGAAAGAGCUUGCGAUACAUCUUGAGUCAAGGGAGGAGAAUCUGAGGCAGAGAAAAUGGGUAAGAACUGCAUGGUCAGAAAAAGAGGAAUCAGAACUGCUGUGAGUCAGUAGGAGAGUUAUGAAAAUGGUCCGCAAGAGGUAUGUAGAGUUUCAGAAGAGAGAAGAGUUUUAUCAAAGUGCGCUGAGUGAGCUUGAUGAGGUUCUCGAGAAAGUUGUGGUUUGCUAGAGGUGUCUCCUAAAGAGAGGGUGAUUCGUUAUGGGCAGAAAGGUAAAUUAGCUCCCAAAUACAUUGGACCCUUUGAAAUCCUGCAGAGGAUUUGGGGAAUGUAUCUCAUGAGUUAGAUUUGCCCACUUCAAUGGAAGAGAUCCAUCCGUUUUUCCAUGUUUCCACGGUAUACGAAUUCGUGUCGGGUCCGAGUGAGGUUCUUGAACGAACCAGAGGUGGAGAUCGUAGAGGAUCUCACCUAUGUGGAGCAGCUUGUACGGACCGCAGACACACAAGUUAGAACAGGUGGAAACAAGGAAAUCCCGAUGGUGAAAGUCCCUUAGAAUCACCUUAAGAUGAAAAGUGCGCCAGGGAGACCGAGGGUUCAUACUCCAGUGAUACCGUGUUUCUUUAUAGAUUAGAGCUUAUGUGUUGUUAUGAUUGUGCUUAUGUUAUUUUUAUGCAUGUGCCUGUUUGUUUGAACAUUCGGGGACGAAUGUUCUUAAAGGGGGGAAGAAUGUAAUAUCCGGCUAGAUCCCGGCAUCGGAAUCCCGACUUUCCGGCGGAAUCUCCGUUGGAAUCUGGAAUUUCUGGAGAUGCCAGAGUCUUCUAGGGGGUUAAAAUGUGUUUUCUAAAAUGUUUUCACUUGAUUUUAUGGUUUUAAAUGGAAAGGAAAUUGAGUUUUGAAAAUAUUAGGCUAAGGAGGCAUUUGCCAGGUUCGGCCGCCGAAAGUCAAGUUCGGCCGCCAAACAUGGGGCUGUUUCGGGAGUGCUUUAGGCUUCCAAAAGUGUGAGGCCAGAAACCAGGUUCGGCCACCGAACCUCAAGUUCGGCCGCCGAACAUGCAUGAGUUUAGGAGGCACGUUAGGCUGCCGAAGGUCGUCGACCAGGCCACCUAUAAAAGGCCCUCAGACCGAAAAUGGGUGAGUUUUCUCCCCAUUCUCGAGCUUAGGUGUGUUCAUGUCCUCCUCUAGUCAUUUUUAUGCUUUUUCUUCAAUCCUUCACGUUUUUAUAAGUUUCAUGGUUGUUUUGAAGAGUUUUGAGUUCAAAGAUCAAGUUUGGAGCUUGGAGAACCAAGGGGUUUGUUUCCUCCCAUCUCCAAGUUAGAGAUCACACCAACCCUCGAUCUUCAAGAGGUAAGUGUAGAUCUAUGCUUUCCUUUAUGUUUUAAUGAAGUUUUAAGGAGUUUUAAUGCUUGAGUAUGGGUAGAUAUGCAUGUUAGGGUUUAUGUGGAUUUUGUGCCCAAUAUGUGUUUAUGUGAUGUUAUGUUGAAGGUUUAAGCUAGGUUAUGCAUGUGGGAGAGUGUAUGCAUGAUUGGGAAAGAGCAAGUGAGAUUAUGGGUUGUUUUGAUGGUUUUGGCGUAUGUGGGUCAUAAACUAUCUAUGUAUGCUUUGGAUGUUGUUUUUGGAGUUUAAUCUAGUUGUUAAGCUCCUUUAUGCAUGACUAAGGGUUUAUGCUUGGUUUUGAGAAGUUUAUGCAUGUUUUAUGAGGUUGGAUGCUUGUUUUGGGGGGGNNNNNNNNNNNNNNNNNNNNNNNNNNNNNNNNNNNNNNNNNNNNNNNNNNNNNNNNNNNNNNNNNNNNNNNNNNNNNNNNNNNNNNNNNNNNNNNNNNNNNNNNNNNNNNNNNNNNNNNNNNNNNNNNNNNNNNNNNNNNNNNNNNNNNNNNNNNNNNNNNNNNNNNNNNNNNNNNNNNNNNNNNNNNNNNNNNNNNNNNNNNNNNNNNNNNNNNNNNNNNNNNNNNNNNNNNNNNNNNNNNNNNNNNNNNNNNNNNNNNNNNNNNNNNNNNNNNNNNNNGCCGCCGAAAGUGCCGCCGAAAGUGCCCUGUCCAGCCCUUUCAUGGGUGUUUUCUAUGAUUGUUUUAAGGAUGUUUUAGGGGGUUUUUGGGUAGUUGUUUGUGAAGUUGUUUAGAGUAUGUUUGGCACCUCACUGGAGUCCACCUGUGUAGGAUCGGACCCGAGGAACCGAGGUGUUUAGCAGUGUUAGCUGCUUCAGAGUCAGUCCUGAGCUAGUCAAUGUGAGUAGAACAUAACUCUUUUUAAUAUUAAAGAAAUUAAAUGUUCUAAGCAUAUUCAUGCAUCACGGAUACCAUGAUUAUGAAAUAGGUUGUUUGCAUUAGAGUUCACGAAUAUGUUGCAUUGCAUAAUACGGUGAUGAUGAUAUGGAUGAAUAUUGGAUGAUCCAUUAGCCCUCAGUAUGAUGUGUUAUGAUAUAACAUGAUAUGACAUGAUAGGACUUGUAUGGCAUGAUAUGAGAUGGAAAGACCAGGUGUGGCCGUAUCGCCCUUGGCAUAGAGUUAUGUGAAGUCCAGGCGUGGCCGUAUCGCCCGUGGCAUAGAGCAUUGUUGGACUUGUUAUGAGAUGAGAUCUAGAUGUAGAGGGCUAAUGGUGACGAAUUCAUCCUUGAUGUGUAUUGUUUGUGAUGUGAUGCAUGUCAUGAAAGCAUAUAUUAUAAUAAACUGUUUUCUCUAUAGUUCUGCUCACUGGGUUUUAUAGCUCACUCCUCUCCCCUAACCCCAGGUUUGCAGGGUCAGAGAUAGUCAGGAGAUCAGCAGGUUAUGUCUAUGGUCAUGUUUAUGUAAUAGAUUAGUAGUGGACAUGAUGUAAGGUAAAGAUAUGUAAUGAAAUCUAAAAUGUUAUAAUGUAAUGUAAUGGAUAGAGUUGUGUUUUGCCCUAGAAGUGUGGUUAAUCCCUUUGUACAUGGUCCUUAUGUAUGUUUUAUUAUGAGGCAUGAUAGCCAAGCUUAGUGUAUGUUGCCCCACGUGAGUGGUCGAUGAGAACUCUAGUGUUGGGAUUUAUGGUUAUGCGUUGUGCAUGCACAGGUUAAGCUUGGUUUUUGAAAGAAAGAAAAAGUUUUAUGUUUAUGUUUGAUCAUGUAUAGGGUUUGCUGGAUUCUGGUAAUAAAAGGGUGGAGGUGAAAACAUGGGAUAUGGUGGAUAUGGUGGGUAGUAGGAAGGAUAGGGCACGUGUGAGGGGUACAGGUGGUAGCUAGAGAAAUCCGAUGGACCUCCCAUCGGAUACUCGGGUCCCUGUGGGUAAGGUUGAUACUGAGAUGGGCAAGCAAAACCCGAGGCCUGAGUGCCUCCUUCAAAUUCUCCCAUACGCUCUCCUGAAAAACUCACACCUAGACUUUCGUCUCUUCUUUAAUCAUCCUCCACUGUUUCCCUAAUAUCCGCAAACAUCCUUUCCGGAUCUAUUCUCCUUCUGUUUACAUCAAAAGACCUUCUGGGGUCCCUUGAUGUUUCUCCUCUAUUAGUCCUACUCGACCGUGCCCUUGACGGAGCAGUAGGAGGAAGGGCAUCCAUGCCCUCAUUCUCAGGUGGAACUCCGGUCAAUCGUGUAGAUCGACGUGAGCUUCGCAUCUUGUCUUCUUAAAAACAGCAUAUAUCACAUAAACAUUAGCAUCAUAUGGUUCAUGUGGACACACAUGAACCCACAUCAUAUACAUAACAUAUCAUUAAUGUACAUGCAUACAAUCAUGGCAUUACACAUCAUCAUACUUUCAUCAAGACAGGACUCUACAUCCUAUCCUAAUGAACAUGAUUUUUCCUAAUGUGCUCACCCUUCUAUACAUCUUUGAGCCCGACACUCUCUAGGUCCGACCAUAUGAACCUAGGGUUUUGAUACCACUCUGUAACGACCUGAAAAUCGGACCGCUAUCGGCGCUAGAAUUCAGAUCGACUUAAGGUCACCGGAACCCGUAGCAAGCCUACUAUACAUCCUGAGUACCUGAUAAAAUCCCAUACAUGAUAAGACAUGAUCACAAAAACUUAAACAUUCCAUGAAACUAAGCUCAACCUGUACAUGCAUCAUACUGCAAACAUAAAACUCAUACUAGAGCCCUCAUCAAAUGCUCUAGUAAGGUAAACAUUACAUGUCUCAAGCUUAGUUCAAACAUAACUCAUAAUUAAAACUUUUACAUAAGGAUCAUGUUAACAAGGAUUACAAGGUAAAGAAAACUAGGGCCAAGCACAAUUCUAAUCCAUUAAAAUUUAUAUGUCCACAACUAUUCUAUUACAUUAGGCUAUACCCGCUACUAUGCCGGCUUCCCGAGCUAUCUUGGACCCUGCAAACCUGGGGUUAGGGGAAAGGGAUAAGCUACAAGAGCCUAGUGAGCAGAAUAUAAAAAUAAUUUAAUAAACAUAUGCUCGUAUGAAAUGCGUCACAACACAAACAAUUCACAUCAAGAUGAACUUAUCACCAGUAACCCUUUACAUAUUCCAAUGUGCCUGGUCCUCAAUGGAGCUCCUCAGGACUUUCGCUUAAAUAUAACAUAACAUAUCCAAUAUGCCAUGGGCAUAGAAUGGGCAAGCCCUGGUCUUUCCCUUACAUCGUGCGAGGGGCGUAGAAUGGGCAAGCCCUGGUCUUUUCGUAUCAUAUUAUAUCAUAACAUCUCGAGGACUAGUGGGUCAUCCAAUAUCCAUCCACAUCAACAGUAAAUUAUGCAAUGCAUCAUAUUCGUGAAUUCUAAUGCAGACAUCCUAAUACAUAAACAUGGCAUUCGUGAUGCAUGAACAUGCUUAAAAGUUUAGUUACUUUGAAAAUAUAGUUCAGUUCUACUCACCUCUGGCUGACGCUCGCCUAACAAUGACGCAGCUAACUCACUGAAGGCCUCUACGGUCUCCCAAGUCUGAUCCUACAUAGAUGGACUCAAAUGAUGGACCAAACAUAACUAUUACAUGACUCUAAACAACUCCCCAAAAAUCUCCUAAAACAUAUCAAAACAUGCACAUAAAACAAGCAGAGGAAGGCUGGGCAGGGAACUUUCAGCGGCAGGUUCGACGGCCAAAGGUCCCUCACAGAUUCAAAAGUCAGGGACUUUCCGGGGCUGGUUCGCAGCCGAAACUCGACACAGAUCCGAAAGUCAGUAAUCUUCGGGGGCAGGUUCGGCGGCGUAAAUCCCUUCACAGAUCCGAAAGUCCAUGCUUUAGGGGGCAGGUUAGGCGGCCAAAAGGCUGCCUCCACAAGCAGGUUCGGCGGCCGAACCUUGCUUCGGCAGCUGAACCUGGGUUCUCCAGCAAGGCAGAACCCGAUUCUGCCCUAUGCACACAGCCACCCAACUCUCCAAUCCUCACACCCAACUCCUAAAAAACAUACAUACUCACUUAUCAAGUAUAAAGGGCAUAAAAACUAGUCUAAACCCCAACAAACAACAAUAAAAUCACAUAAGAGCAAACAUUCAUCAUCAAAACUAACACAAACAAUAAAACUUUAGAUCUAACCAUUUCAUGCAUUUUUAACCCUUUACCCCUUCUUAAAACUUGAUUAAAACAUAAGAAAAGCAAGGAUCUAGGCUUACCUCUUGGAGGUCUAAAGGUGACAGCAACCCCAACGUGGAGAUGAGGAAAAACGGUCUCCGGAGGUCUCCAAGGUUUAAAAACUCGGAUUCAAGUUCAAAUCUUCAAAAACAAGAGAAAAUUCAUGAAUUUCUGAAAGAUUUGAAGGAAAAACAACAAAAACAUCAAAGGAUGGAAAGAACUCCAGGAAAUGCUGCACCACCUCCUCCCCCAGCAGAACCAGAAAUUUCUGAAACCCAACUACCCAAACCUAACCCAUCAGCAGGGAGCAAGGUGAAAAUGAUGGACUAUCUGAAGUUGGAUGCUCCUAAGUAUAAAACAGGUGAUGAUCCAUUUGAGUACCUCAAGACGGUGAAAAUAAUAACUGAUGAGUUGGGGGCUAGUGACAGUAGAGCCAUUCAGAUGGUGGGGUUCACUCUUAAAUGCAAGAAGGCAAAGGAAAAAUUAUGUGGACUCGAGACUGGACAGCCUAUCUUAGGAAUAGUUUACAAAUGAAUUUGCAGCUCCUUCAACUUUGCUGGUGCCAUCCUGUAGGGAGGGAUAGAGAUUGGUCUGGUUUCAGGCAUCACUUCUAUUUCAAACUCUAUCUCCCUAGUAGGUGGUAGUCCUGGAAGCUCGUUUGGGAAGACAUCUGGAAACUCUCUGACUACGGGCACUGAGGCUGGCUCCCUAACCUGACUAUCAAGCUCUCUACAUGAGCUAGAAACCCCUGACAACCCCUCCGGAGCAACCUACGAGCCUGCAGGGCUGAUAUCAGACCUCUAGGCAUACCCCUCCUGUCUCCUUUGAAGACAAACCCAGACCCAUCCUGAUCUCUGAACCUGACUACCUUGUCUCUGCAAUCCAAGGUAGCACCAUGAGUAGAUAGCCAAUCCAUCCCUAGAAUGACGUCAAAAUUUGUCAAGUCUAGAACCAUAAGGUCGGCUGGAAGGCAUCUAUCCUCAACAAACACUGGGCUAUGCCAGCAGACUUACUCUGCCACUGAUGGGUCGCACUUGGGUCCACUGAUCCAAAGGGGACACUCUAAUCCAGAGACUAUCAAACCCAACCUCUCUACGGCUCUCGGAGCAACAAAAGAAAGAGAAAAGCAUCAGGGUUCAUAAGAGCAUACACAUCAGAACAUUCAAAAGUGAGCGUACCUGACACCACCGUGUUCGAUGUGUUAGCCUCCUGCUGAGCCCGGGUGAAGAUUCGAGCUGGAGCUGAAGGACCUUCUCCGCGGGAACCUACGGAAGAAGAGGCUAAUCACCUCGGUUCCUCAGGUCCAAUCCUACACAGGUGGACUCAAAUGGGGGACCAAACAUACUCUAACAUGACUCUAAACAACUCCCCAAAAACCCCCUAAAACAUCAUGAAACAUGCAUGCAAAACAUGCAAAGGAAGGUUGGGCAAGGGACUUUCGGCGGCAGGUUCGGCAGCCGAAACUCCCUCCAGAUCCGAAAGUCACUAACCUUCGGGGGCAGGUUCGGCGGCCGAAACUCCCCUCCAGAGCCGAAAAUCCAACUUUCAGGGGCAAGUUUAGGCGGCCUAAAGCUGCCUUCAUAGGCAGGUUCAGCGGCCGAACAUGGCUUCGGUGGCUGAACCUGGGUUCUCCAGAAUGGCAGAACCCGAUUCGCCUCUCUCAUCUAGUCUCCCAAAACCCCCCAAACUCAUACUCAACACUCAAAAGCAUGCAUAAACGCAUCAUCAAGCACAUAGGGGCAUAAAACUAGCCUAUACCCCAACAAACAUCACAUUUAACAUCACAUUUAACAAUAAACUAACAUAAACCCUAACAUUUUACAACUAGCCUAAACAUGCAUUAAACACCCAUAAAACCCCUUAAAACUUACUUAAAACCUAAAAGAAGAGGAGGAUCUACACUUACCUCUUGAAGAUCGAGAGGAGAUGCGAUCCCAAACUUGAAGAUAUGGAGGGAUGAGCUCCGGGGGUCUCCAAGUUUCAAAACUUUGAUCCUAGCUUAAAAUCUUCAAAGCAAAGGUAAAAACUCAUAAAAAUCAUGAGACUUGAAGGAAAAGCAUAAGAUCGACAAGGGGUGGCGGAGACACCUUGCCCAAAAAUGGAGAGAGAAAACUCGCCCAUUUUCGGACAGGGGGCCCUUUAUAGGUGGCUGGCCAGACCACUUUCGGGGGCCAAAAGUGCCUCCGCAUCCGCCCCAUGUUCGGCGGCCGAACAUGAGGUUUGGCGGCCGAACCUGGGUUUUUUCCUCAAGCACUUUUCUUUUCAAAACUCAAUUUCUUUCUUCAUUAAAAUCAUAAAAACAUAAAAACAUUUCAGAAAACCUUUAUUUUACCCUUCUAGAAGGCUCCGGCAUCCGAGAAUUCCGGAUUCCAAUGGAGAUUCCGCCGGAAGGUAGGAAUUCUGAUGCUGAGGUCUAGCUGGGUAUUACAUUGAUCCACAACAAGGCUACGGACAUGUGAUCAGAGAUUUGGGAUGCUAAAAUGGAUGUACUCACCUCAUUCACCCUUCUCGGUGGCUAUUCUUGGUCUCUAAAUUGUUGAGAGGCUGCUGCCAUAGUGGAAAUUAAAUUCCUUAUUUCUUGAGGUGAUUUGUCUUCAAUUGAUCCUCCACAUGCUGCAUCAAUAAAUUUUCUUUCUGAAGGUAGCAAACCUCCAUAGAAAUAUUCGAUGAGUGAUUUGUCAUAAAUAUCAUGUUGAGGGCAGCUUGUGCACAACCUUUUGAACCUCUCUCAGUACUCAUACAAGCCUUUAGAAUGCUUUUGCCUUAUACCACUUAUCUCUCAAUGGAUGCCAAUGGCUUUUAAGGUUGGAAAGAAUUUGCUCAAGAAUGCUCUCUCACCAUACCAGCCCAUGAUGUGAUGGAUCCCGGUGGCAAGUAGAAUAGCCAAUCUUUGGCAUAGUCAUCAAGGGAAAAAGGGAAGGCUCUAAGUUUAACAUGCUCUUCUAAAAUAUCUUGGGGUCUCAUGGUUAAGCAUACAGUGUGGAAUUCCUUCAAGUGCUUGUGGGGAUCCUCAUUUUCUAGGCCUCUAAAUUUGGGAAGGAGAUGGAUCAGGCCUGUCUUCAAUUCAAAGGGUGCUGUCAAUGGGGGAUAGGCAAUGCAUAAUGGUGCCUGAUCUCCUGUUGGUACAGCUAGCUCGCGGAGUGUUCUCUCCCAUGGCUGUGGUGCACGGAUGGGCACGUUUUCAGCUUCAGCUUCAACUUCUUCAUACGCUGCAGGUGGUUCUGCCAUUAUUUGAUUUUCUGCAGCAACCUGGAAUUCUAUUUCUGGUUCAACUAUAGCAGUAGCAGGUGCGGUAGUAGGUGUAUCUGCUGGUGCAGUAAAUUCUGCAGCAGGGGCAGUAGCUAUUGUAUCAGAUGGUUCAACGUCAGAUUGAGUGGUAGACACUCGGCUUGUUGUUGUCGCCGAUGAAGAUGCUUUUGAGGCUUGGUUCCUCAAGUUUGCUUGUUUCCUCAAGCUCUUGGCAGUGCGUUCUAUCUCCGGAUCGUAAAGAAUAGUUUCUUUACGGCUAGCCCUAGUCAUAAAGGGAAAAUACAUUAGUUUAGAUCAAAUCCCCGGCAACGGCGCCAAUUUUUGAUAGCGAUUGUCGAAACCGUAAAAAAUAAACCUAUUAACAAUCAACAAAAAUAAUUUGUAGAUAGUGGCAAUAGGAUCGAACCACAGGGAUUUGACACUACUGAUCUUUCUAAUAAUGACUUGGAUAAAUAAAUAACAAAAAUAAAAAGAGGGGGGUUUGUUGGAGAUGAUAGUAGACUAGAAUUAAAACUGAGUAAAAGAAAGCAAUAAUUAAAAAGAUGAGCAAAUCAAUGGGAGAAAGACUCUAGUUGAAGUUUGGAUCUAUUUCAGUUGUUUAGAAUUGAUCAUUGAUUCUUUGUUACUCCUAUUUAUUUCAAUAAAUUAGUUUAGGUUGUGGAAGACGCUUCUCACAACCAAAUUCCUCCUUAGUUUUAGUUCGACUAGGAAACGUUCGCUAAUCAAACACUAGUUAACAAGUUGCCAAGGAACGUCCUUGAGAUUUUUUACUUUUCAACUGUUAACUGCAUUAGGACUUAGAGAAACCUAAUUCUAACCUUGCCAACCGCGUGGUCAAGUUUAGAUUAUGCAACCAAGUGUGCUUGUGUUCAAACAAUCUAAGCAAUUACGGACCUAAAUUGUAACACCCCUUACCCUAUCAAAGUGUAGACAGAGCAAGGAAUAUCACAAACUAUGCCUCUUUUGAUAUAUCCAGACUAAACAAUUUCCUUUAUCUGUAAAUACCAAGUUUUAGGUAGUCCAAGCAAUUUUUAUAAGGUGAAUAAAGUAACUGUGAGAUUUUAAACCAAAAUGUAUUUUGGCAAAAUUUCCUCUAUUUCAUAAUCACUUUAACCUGUAAUACAUAUGAAAAUCACACUUAUAAUUACACUAACAACUGUCAUUUGAUAUCUUACUAUUCCUUGAUUUACAUAAUCUUUACAACUCACUCUAUUAAAUAUGUACAUGCCAAAAUAUAAUUGUACUAUGACUCAGAGACUCAAAACAACCAGCUAUGAUAAUGGCUUUGAUAUCUGAUGUAGACCUCUGAUGAACUCCGCGUAUCUACUUUAUCUACAACCUGUGUGAGGUAAGAACCAACACGCUGACCUAAUGCUCAAUGGGUGAUAGAAAACAAAUAACAAAAUAAAGCAAACAAGUUCACUUAUACAGAUAAUCAAGUAAACAAUUUCAAGCUAAUCAAAAGUUGUUAACAUUCACUGAUAAUUUCACAAAACAAGUAUCAACCUUAAUUAGGUCCUUAGCCCUCAUAACCACAUAGCAGGGUCGACUAGGUAGAUAAGGAAUUAUAACGGUAGGCACAGGGUGCCGAACGGUAGGCUCAGAGGCCAAAACUAUGAUAGCAGGGUUUUGUGGCCGUGCUUAUGAGGUACCUGAUAUGUAACCUCAAAUAUAGAUCAUGUAUCGAUAGCAGUAUUGCGAACUCUGUAUGUUUAUAUGGCAUGCCAUACCCUUAAGCUAACCUCGACUCCUAUUACGUUUACCAGGGCCAAGUAUCAUUAAUUCAAUGUAAAUGCACAUCAUUUGAAGCUAUUUGAAUUCAUUUCCAAAAUACACAUAUCAUAUGUCAAAGUCAACAAGAUGAGAAAUUCAUGGCAAAUGGUGCAAAACUUUGUCAACAUAGUAUUCCAGUUUGAGAAAACUGCAUUCUGCCUUUCAAUUUGAGAAAACUGCAUUCUGCCUUAUCUUUCAUAAACUUUUCAAGUAGCUUAGAGUUACAAUUUGACUUCAGUUUCUUCAUAACAAAUGUACAUUUAUGUCUUAUCUUUCCAACAAGGUAUAGUUCAUGCAAUUCUGAACACUCUAACUUAAAUUAUGAAUUUUUCUUUACAAGCUGCUCAAUAAGAUAUUAAACAGUCCAGUAUUAGUACCUGUUUAUAGUAUCACAAAACAUAUCAGAUUCAUGUAUUUUCAUAUAAAUUCAAGCUUAAUUAUCUUCUACAAAAUUUUAGGUAUAUUUCUUAAGAUUCAUUUGGCACUUUUUUUAAUAAAUUUCACUGAGUAUAUAAUUAAUUAUGGUACAAUCAAUACACACUGUUCUGAAUGCACUAACUCUGUGUCCAGUUUAGGUUCACUUGAAACUUUCAUCAUCUUACCUACAGAUUCAGAAUUUGGUCAAUUCAUGAAAGUUUUAGAUCUUUGUCUCAGCUUUCAUUUGGUAUAUCUUAGGCCUAAUUUUAAUUAAUACACAAAAAGUUAUGAAGUUGUCAACACAAGCUGCCCUGUUACAACUUAUUCUGCCAGGUUUGCACUUUUAGCUCUCAUGUUAAAUUUCUUUACUCUAAGCCUUUCAAACGCCACUUUAACAUUUAUAUGACAUAUUUAUACAAUCAAAGCAACAUUUUCAGCAAGUAAAAUCAAUCUCCAACUUCAUAUAUCAAUGAUAAAAUUCAAGGAAAACAGAAAAUCAUUCAAACACCAAACCUUUCUUGAAUUCCUCUUUCUUUUCCUCUUCUAUUCUCUAGCUAUCUCCUUUCCCUUUGAUGUUCCUUCACCUAGGUCAAUUUAUGUCUUGGGAAAGGAUUGAAUAAGUUGUAAAUUAAAGCUUUAUAAUUCAAAUUCAUGCAUGAAGAAAUGAGAAGAUGUUAUUUCCUACACUUUUCUAAGCUUACCUUUGAUUUUCAAACUUGGUGCAUAUGGAACCCUAAACUUUUCUUCUUCAAUCCCUUCAAUAUAUGGCUGUUCCUUUAGCUCUUGGUCUUAGGAUGAAUUUUAAUUAAAGCAAGAAGUUAAUUGGGUGAGAUUUGGCUUGGCUUUGGUGGAAGGAAGACAAAAUAAAGCUUUGGUUUUCAAUGGUGGGAGCUACGGCAAAGUGAAAUGGUGGAGAAGAUAAUCCCUUUUUCAUUUUGCUUUAUCAUUUCUCCUUUCCUUAGUUAGGUGACACAUGGAAAUAAACUUAAUUUUAUGUUUUAACUUUCAAUUUUUACACUUUAACGUACUAAACUUGUAACGACCCCAAAAUGGACCGUCACCGGCGCUAGGAUUCAGGUCGGCUUAAGGCCGCCGGAACCCGUAGCAAGCUUGCUAUACUCUCUGUGUACCUGUAAACCUCAUACAUGAUCAUACAUUUUCUGUGAAAAUAAAACUCUUUUCUGAACCAAGGCUUAACCUGUGCAUGCACUAUCUCUGUACUCUGUACUCAUGUACUCUGUACUCUGUAUCCCUGACUAGAGCUUGCUCUAGAUGGGUUUACUCAUACCUGUUAAGCCUGGUUUUCACAUACAGGAAAACAUAUAUACAUAUACAGAUCAUGUACAAAACAUACAUCACUAGGUCAAGCAACAACUAUUACAUCUCUUUAAUAUUACAUGUCCACUCUAAGCUAUUACAGAUCUCUUUACUUUUCCUGUACUCUGCUGGACUGUCCCUGUACACUGUACACUGAACCUGCAAAACUGGGGUUAAGGGAGUGGGAUGAGCUCUAUAGCCCAGUGAGUAGAACAGUAAAACAUCUCAGUAAAAUAUGAUCUCAUGGAAUGCACCAUAUCACAAACAAGCCACAUCAAGAGUAAACCUGUCACCACAUAGUCCCAGUAACUCUGUGCCAGGGCGUAGAAUCGAGCACCUGGUCUUCCUGUCAUAUAUGUAUAUGUGUAUAUAACACCUCUGUACUUACCAUUGCCAGGGCGUAGUCAAAGGCUCCUGGACUUUACUAUACCUGCCAGGGCGUAGUCAAAGGCUCCUGGACUUCACUAUACCUGCCAGGGCGUAGUCAAAGGCUCCUGGACUUCCUGUCUGAGACUAUUGGAUCAUUCAGCAUUCAGUCACAUCACCAAAUAACAAUGCAAUGCAACAUAUUCGUGAAUACUAAUGCAAUCAACCUAUGGCAUAAACAUGAUGCAUGAGAUAUGCUUAAAGCAGUUAUGGUUCAAUUAAAAGUCAUAAGUUUAGUUCCACUCACCUCUGGCUAUCUGGACUGACUGACUCUGCAGGUUCUGAACCUCUGGAGCAGUACUCACUGCUGCUCUCUCUGGUUCCUCUGGUCUGUACCUAUACAGAUGGACUCAAAUGAGGGACCAAACAAGCGUAGAAUAACUCUCUUAAACUCCCCAAGAAUCCCCUUAAACUCACUCAACUAUCUAUGCAAAGCAUGCAAAAGAAAACUGGACAGGAUACUUUCGGCGGCAGGUUCGGCGGCCGAAUGUCCUCUCCAGAGACGAAACUCAAGCACCUUCGGCGGCACCUUCGGCGGCCGAAUCCCCCAAACAGAGCCGAACAUGCAAAAACACGCGGGGGCAAGCUGUGGCAAGGAAGCCACCAUGCAGGAGGUUCGGCGGCCGAAUGAACCUUCGGCUGCCGAACCUGAGUUCAUCCAGAACUCAGCUUCAACGGCAAACCAUCUCCUCCUUCCCUUCAACACUUUCUAACAUGCAUCCUUCACGUAUGCAACACACAUAUAUUCAAGUAUAUGUUCACAGGGGUCCAAAACUAGCUAAUAACCCCAAACAACAAAACAAACAUAACACAUCAACAUGUAUACAUACAUAAAUCAUCAAACACUACCAUGAAUAACCUAAGCAUGCUUCUCCUUCCUUUCACUCUUCAGAAAACAUAUAAACAGGGUCUAAAACUGCCCUUACCUCUGGAAACAGGAAGAUACACACACUGAACAAAGGAAAAACAGAUCAACCUCUCUUCAAACUCUCAAAAUCUCAAAAGCGUAACUUUUGUUUCUCUCAACUCUCAACACCUUUGCAAGCACCUCAAACUGCUGUAAGAACAACCAAAAACAUGUACAGAUGAGUCAUAAGAGACGUGGUCAUUCCAUAGCAAGAAUCUGAGGCCAACACUUGUCAAAAAAACACAUGACUCAGCUCACUAGCCAACUCAGCUUCGGCUGCCCAAUCGCAUGCGAAACCAUGCAACAUUCGGGGGCCGAACUUGAAUUUCAGAAGCCGAACAUUGGGCACUUUCGGCGGCCGAACUUACCUUCGGCGGCCGAACUUGGCUGAAGUCUCCAUGAACUAUUUAUCUUCAAAACUCAAAACUAUAUAACUUAUAAACCUGAAAACACAUCAUAACACUUAGAAAACAAAACUCCUACCCUUAUAAGAAUCCCAACACCCCGGAUUCCACCAGACAACAGGAAUUCCGGUGCCGGAUUCUAGCCGGGUAUUACAAAACUCUUUACCAUGUUUUAAUUUAGUUUUUAAACUUUCAAUAAUCAUAGAUUGACCUACUAAACUAUACAUUUAGCCUUUUAGAAGUCCUUUUCACUUAAGCAAGCAUGACGGAUUUAAACAAGCACCUCAAGCAAGCAUGUUGGGAAACCCUAAGCACCUCCCGAAAGUGACUCGUUCCCGACUCACUAAUCACACUGGCUACUUCAUUUUUGGAUAUGUCCGUUUCUUUAUUUGAGUUUUCUAUGAUUCAAUUAUUAGCAGCUUAGAGUUAAGCUAGCUCCUCCCCUAAUGCCACUUACUCUAGUAGUAAAAUAGCCUAACCCUACCUUGUGAUGGCACUACUCUAGCUAUGGAUUUGAGGAUGUUACAACUCUUCCCCUCUUACGGAAUUUCGUCCUCGAAAUUUUACCUGCUUUGAAUAGCUAUGGAUAUUGUUGCUUCAUCACUUCUUCACUCUCCCAUGUAGCUUCUUCUGCCUUGUGAUUUCUCCACAACACUUUCACUAAGGGAAUCUUCUUAUUUCUUAACUCUUUCAUUUCCCUUGCUAAAAUUUUCAUUGGUUCUUCUUCAUAAGUUAAAUCAGCUUGUACAUCAAUGGUUUCUGCUGAAAUGACAUGUGACGGGUCCGAUCUGUAUCUUCUUAACAUGGAUAUAUGGAAGACAUUGUGUAUUCUGUCUAACUCUGGAGGUAAAGCUAGCCUGUAGGCUACUGGACCCACACACUCAACUAUUUCAUAUGGACCAACAAACCGAGGGCUUAGCUUACCUUUCUUGCCAAAUCUUAGCACUUUCUUCCACGGAGAAACUUUUAGAAACACUUUGUCCCCAACAACAAAUUCUAUAUCUUUUCUUUUCAAAUCUGCAUAGGAUUUUUGCCUAUCUGUUGCAACUUUCAAUCUUUCUUUGAUAAUUUUCACUUUCUCCUCGGUCUGUCUUAUCAAGUCUGGACCUACAAGUUUAGUUUCACUAAGUUCUGUCUAGCAUAAUGGGGUUCUACAUUUUCUGCCAUACAAUGCUUCAUAGGGAGCCAUUUUAAUACUAGUCUGAUAACUGUUGUUGUAAGCAAAUUCUACUAGUGGGAGAUAUCUUUCCCAGCUUCCUUCAAAUUCAAUUACACAACUUCUAAGCAUAUCUUCCAAAACUUGAAUCACUCUCUCUGACUGGCCAUCUGUCUGAGGAUGAAAAGCUGUACUAAAAUUCAAUCUUGUCCCUAAAGCUUCAUGUAGUUUUUUCCAGAAUCUAGAUGUGAAUCUUGGAUCUCUGUCUGAUAUGAUAGAGAUAGGAACACCAUGUAGUCUCACAAUUUCAUUAAUGUACAAUUCUGCAUACUUUUCCAAUGUAUAAUCCAUUCUGAUUGGCAAGAAAUGCGCUGAUUUAGUUAACUUGUCAACUAUUACCCAGAUGGCAUCUUUCUUCCUUGGUGUGAGUGGCAAUCCUGUCACAAAAUCCAUGGUAAUUCUAUCCCAUUUCCAUUCUGGUAUAGCGAUAGGCUGCAAUAACCCUGAUGGAACCUGAUGUUCUGCUUUCACCCGUUGACAUGUCAAACAUUUUGUUACCAAUUCAGCUAUAUCUCUUUUCAUACCUGGCCACCAAUAGUGCAUCUUCAAAUCUUGAUACAUCUUAGUGCUACCUGGAUGUAUAACAUAUGGACUGUUGUGUGCCUCUAUAAGAAUACUCUGUUUCAGCUCUCCAGCAUUAGGUACACAUAUUCUAUUACCAUAGUACAAGUAGCCAUCAUCACUUAUCACAUGCUUCUGCUUCUUCCCCUCUUGUACUUGUCUAGUCCAUAAGGCUAUCUCUGUAUCUUCUUUCUGUGCUCCUUUAAUUUGUUGCAGUAAGUUGGGUCUAAUUUUCAAUUAUGCUAUGAUAGCUCUAUCAUCUGCUAUAGUCAACUGCACAUUCAUUGCUUUUAAUGCAAAUAAGGAUUUCCUGCUGAGUGCAUCUGCUACCAGAUUAGCUUUUCCUGGGUGAUAAUCUAUAAUGCAAUCAUAAUCUCUCAGUAACUCUAGCCAUCUUCUUUGUCUCAGGUUUAGCUCUUUCUGUGUGGGCAAGUAUUUCAGACUUUUAUGAUCUGUAUAGAUGUAACAUUUCUCACCAUAUAAGUAAUGUCUCCAUAUCUUUAGUGCAAAAACUAUGGCCGUUAACUCUAGAUCAUGGGUAGGAUAGUUCUUCUCAUGUGGCUUCAAUUGUCUGGAAGCAUAGGCAAUCACUUUACCUUCUUGCAUCAAAACACAUCCAAGUCCAUUGUGAGAAGCAUCACUGUAUAUCACAAAUUCCUUUCCAAAAACAGGUUGUGUAAGUACAGGUGCUUCGGUGAGCAUAGUCUUCAAUAUGUCAAAGCUUGCCUGACAUCUAUCAUCCCAAACAUACUUAACAUUCUUAUGUAAUAAUUUAGUCAAUGGAGCUGCUAUAAGUGAAAACCCUUUCACAAACCGUCUAUAGUACCCAGCUAGACCCAAGAAACUCCUGAUCUCUGCAACAUUCUUUGGUGGCUUCCAUUCCAGAACAGCUUUAAUCUUCUGUGGUCCACCCUGAUUCCCUUUGCUGAUACAACAUGUCCCAAAAAUGUUACUUUAUUGAGCCAAAAAUCACAUUUACUGAACUUAGCAUAAAGUUGCUUUUCCCAUAGAGUCUGCAAUACUACCCUCAGAUGCCUGUCAUGGUCUUCCUUAGUUUGAGAGUAUACCAGAAUAUCAUCAAUGAAUACUACAACAAACUGGUCUAAAUAUGGAUGGAAGAUACGGUUCAUCAGAUCCAUGAAUGAUGCAGGUGCAUUUGUUAACCCGAAUGGCAUAACCAGGAACUCAUAGUGUCCAUAUCGUGUCCUGAAUGCAGUCUUAGGCACAUCUGCCCCUUUAACUCUCAACUGAUGGUAGCCCGAUCUCAAAUCUAUCUUACAGAAAAUGCUGGCCCCUUUUAACUGAUCAAACAAAUAAUCUAUUCUAGGCAGUGGAUAUUUAUUCUUUAUAGUUACCUUAUUCAACUGUCUGUAAUCAAUGCACAACCGAAGAGAUCCAUCUUUCUUUUUUACAAAUAACACUGAUGCACCCCAUGGUGAAACACUAAGUCGAAUAAAGCCCUUAUCAAGUAACUCUUGUAACUGUAUUUUCAACUCUUCUAAUUCUGUAGGAGCCAUUCUGUAAGGAGCAAUUGAAAUAGGUGCGGUACCUGGCACAACUUCUAUAGCAAAAUCCACUUCCCUUUCUGGAGGUAACCCUGGCAACUCUUCAGGAAAUACAUCUGGAAAAUGACAUACUGUGGGUAGGUUUGACACACUUGGGCCUUCCUUCUUAGUUUUAAUCACACUAGCUAGAUAGGCUGUACAGCCUUUUCUAAUCAACCUCCUAGCUGUAGUGGCAGAUAUGACAUUAGAGAGGUAAUCUGACCUCUCACCCAUAACUAUAACCUCAGAACCCUCUGAUGUUUUGAGUGUGACUCGCUUUAACUUACAAUCAACUAUGACAUGAUGUCUAGACAAGCAAUCCAUACCCAAAAUCACAUCAAACUCUCUAAAAGGUAACUCUAUCAAAUCACCUAAAAAGGUGUGACCUUGCACACAUAUAGGACAAUCUCUGUAAACUCUAUUCACAAUCACAAGAUGUCCUAAGGGAUUGGUCACUGCUAUGUCAUGUUCUAAGAGUUCUACUUGAAUUCCCUUGACAUUACUGAUGGGUAUGCUAAUGUAUGAAUGUGUGGAACCAGGAUCAAUUAAUGCAUAAACAUAUUUGCCAAAGAUAGAAAAUUUACCAGCUAUAACAUCUGGUUUGUCUUGGUCUUACUUUGCACGAAUAGCAUAUGCCCUGGCAGGUGCUCUAGUGUCUGGUCUGUCUACUGUCUCUAAUACUCUGUGACUCUGAGCGUUACUAGAUUCACCUUUACCUCUACCUCUGCCUCUAGACCCUGUCUGCAUAGAUCUCUCUAUCUGCAUAGGCUGCACUGACUGGCCUCUAGGAUAAUCCCUCAUAAAGUGGUCUAAGCUUCCAUAUAAGUAGCAAGCCCCAAUUAAUCUCCUGCAUACUCCGCCAUGUCUCCUGCCACAAUGCUCACAUAUUGGUGGCAACCCUCUACCUGGUCCUCCUGUACUAGAUACUGAGGUAGUUUGCUGUCCAGACCUCACUACUGAACUCCGCCCAGGUCUCUGAAUCUGCCUAGGUGGCCCUCUCUGCCCUGUCUGCUGAAAUUCCCUUUGUCUCUUACUAGUUGUCUGUGAUGCAAAGGACUGUCCCUGAUACUGGCUCUGGCUCCUCUUCUGCUGCCCUUUCUGCUUUCUACUUUGCUCUUCUUCUUUAAUUCGCUCCAGGCUGUGGGCUGUCUCUACUAAAACUGAAAGUUCCCUGAUGUGCAUAGCUGUGAGGUACAUCCUGAUAUUAGCAUGUAAUCCUUGCUCAAAGCGUUUACAUCUCUCUUCCUCUGUAGGAACUAUCUCUGUGGCAUACUUACUAAGUCGAACAAAUUCUCGCUCAUACUCAGUUACUGUAAGCCUGCCCUGUCUGAGGUAUAAGAACUCCCUCCUUCUCUCCUCUAUAUAUAAGGCCCCAACAUAUUUCUUCUUAAACUCUGCCAAAAAGAAUUCCCAAGUCUGCCGCUCUAGUCGAACCAUCUGUGUUAAUGUUGUCCACCAUCUAUAGGCUUCAUCCUUUAGCAAUGAUACUGCACACAUUAAGCUCUCUGCUGGUGAACACUGUAGCUACUGUAAAACCCUUUCUGUACUUUCUAGCCAGAAUUCUGCAGCUGAAGGAUCAUCUUCCUUUUUACCUCUAAACUCUGUAGCACCAUAUUUUCUGAGUUUUUCUAUUAGAGGCAUAGGUUGUGCCUGGGCUACAAUAGGUGGGGGAACUUCAACUGCUACAGGUGGUUGUGGUGAUACCUCUGGCACAUUUUGGGUAACCCUCCUAAGCAACUCAGUUAUUUGCUGAAACAAUGCAUCCUGCCCUGAUCCGCCAGCAGCAGCAGGUGGAGGAGUAGCAGCAGGUGCAGCUGCCUCAGAGGGAGCAUGACUCUCUACCUCUUCAUCUAUUGCUCUUUGUGACUCAGAUGACAUCUUCUAUCAGACCUAAAGACAUAAAGAAAGAGAUUUACAUCAGAACUGUAAUACCCAGCUAGACUCCGGUAUCGGAAUUCCUACCGUCCGGUGGAAUCUCGGAUGUCAGAAACCUCUAGAAGGGUAAAACCAUGUUUUCAUAAAAUGUUUUAAUGUAUUUUAUGGUUUUAAGCAAGAAAGGAAAUGAGUUUUGUAUGAAAAUAGCCUUGGAGGAAAACUCAGGUUUGGCCGCCGAACCUCAAGUUCGGCUGCCGAACAUGCAUGCGCUUCGGGAGUGCUUUAGGCCCCCGAAGGCAUAAGUGAGGGAAGUCCAGGUUCGGCCGCCGAACCUUAUGUUCAGCCGCCGAACAUGGCAUGCAUGCGGAGGCAUGCUAGGCCCCCGAAAGUGGCCUGGCCAGCCACCUAUAAAGGGGUCCCCAUGUCUGAACGGGUGAGCUUUUCUCCCCGUUUUCGGCCAAGGUGAGUUCUUCGCCAUCCCUCAUCGAUUUUGAGCUUCUUCCUUCGAAUCUUUAUGAUUUUCUUAUAGUUUUCACUUGGUUUGAAGAUAUUUGAGCAAAAGAGCAAGUUUUGAAGCUUGGAGACCAAAGAGGUGAUUUCUCCCCAUCUCCAAGCUAGGAUCGUCUUUCCUCUCGAUCUCCAAGAGGUAAGCUUAGAUCCAACAUUCCUUGUAUGUUUUAAGCAAGUUUUAUGAAGAUCUAUGGGGUAGAAAUGCAUGUUUAGGUUAUUGUUGAGUUUAUGGGUUUAUGUUAUGUUUAUGAGCAAUGUGGGUAGUAUGUGUAUGUUUGAUGUGUUUUGGUUGGGGUUUAGGAUAGUUUGAGACCCUUAUAUGCUUGUUGGCUUGUGUUUGCUUGUUGUAGAAUAAGUAAAUGCAUGUGUGAUUGGAUUGGGAGAUUUUUUAUGCAUGAAAGAGGCUUAGUUCUGCCCUUGGGAAGAACUCAGGUUCGGCAGCCGAAGGCUCUUUUGGCCGCCGAACCUGCCUGUGGAGGCCAACUUUUGGCUGCCGAACCCUGCCCCCGAAAGUGGACUUUCGGCUCUGGAAGGGAGUUUCGGCCGCCGAAGGUGCCGCCGAACAUGCAUGAGUUUCGUCUCUGGAGGGAACCUUCAGCCACCGAAAGUGUCGCCGAAGGUGCAUGACUUUCGGCUCUGGAGGGACUUUCGGCCGCCGAACCUACCGCCGAAAGUGCCCUGUGUAGCCCUUCUUUGCAUGUUUUCUAUGAUUGUUUUGAGGUGUUUUAAGGGGAUUUUGGGGAGUAUUUUGAGUCAUGUUCUUGGAUAUUUGGUCCCUCAUUUGAGUCCACCUGUGUAGGUUCGGACCCGAGGAACCGAGGACCCCAGCAGUGAGUUAACAGCUUUAGAGUCAGCCUGAGGUGAGUAGAAUAGACCUUUAUGUUUUAAUUUAAUGAAAGUUUUGGCAUAACUCAUGCAUCACGAAUGCCAUGUGAUAUUCUAGGUUGUUGCAUUAGAAAUUCAUGAAUAUGUUGCAUUGCAUAUUAUGUUGUUGAUGUGGAUGAAUGUUGAAUGAUCCAUUAGUCCUCGUAUGUUAUGGUAUGAUAUGAUGAUGAUAUAGUUUGGAAGUCCAGGAAGACCCAUUCUAUGUCCCUGGCACUAUGUAAGAGAAAGUACAGGAAGACCCAUUCUACGUCCCUGGCAUAUUGGAAUGUUAUGAUAUAUUAUGUAAGAGGAAGUCCAGGAAGACCCAUUCUACGUCCCUGGCACUAUUGGAUAUGUAGAGGACUAUUGGUGACAAGUUCAUCCUUAAUGUGAUUUGUUUGUGAUGUGAUGCAUUUCAUGAAAGCAUGAACUUUUAAUAUAAUGUUUUAUUAUUCUGCUCACUGGGCUCUAGUAGCUCACCCUGUUUCCCUAAUCCCCCAUGUAUGUAGGUUCGGGAUAGGCCAGGAGGUCAAGAAGAGUAAAGUUUCGUCUAUGUAAUAGUUAGAUGUGGACAUGAUAUAUUGUAAAGUACUAAACAGUUAUGUAAUGUAAUGAUGAGUAUGGAGGUUUAGAAUUGUGCUUGACCCUAGUAUGUUGUUAAUCCCUUUUUGGUUACAUGAUCUUUUAAUGAAAUGUUUUAUGAUGUUUAAGUUUAACCAAAUUUUUAUGAUAUUAUGUUACCCCAUUGGAGCAUUGAUGAGGACUCCAAUGUGGGGUUGAUGAUUAUGAUCAUUAGUUGUGCAUGCACAGGUUGAGUUUGGCAAUUGAAUGAGAAAAGUUCAAAAUUUUUAUGUUUAUGAUUGAUCAUGUAUGGGAUUAAACAGGUUUUCAGGAUGUAUGUCAGGCUUGCUACGGGUCCCGGCGGCCUUAUACCGUUCUGGAUCCUAGCGCCGGUAACUAUAAUACCCGGCUAGAGUCCGGCAUCAGAAUUCUACUUUCCGGUGGAAUCCGGGAUGUCGGAAGUCUCUAGAAGGGGUAGAUUUCUGUUUUUCUACCAUGUUUUGAUAUGUUUCAUAGUUUUAAAGCCUAAGGAAAUGAGUUUUUGAAUGAAAUGAACCAAGGUAGAAAAGCCAGGUUCGGCCGCCGAAGUUGAGGUUCGGCCGCCGAACAUGCAUGGCUUUCGGUUUCACGAUAGGCCGCCGAAGGUGGUCUGGCCAACCACCUAUAAAAGGCCCUCAGUCGGUUGAAAGGAUAAGCUUCGCCGCUUCCUUUCGAUUUCUGAGGUGAGACUCUGUCCUUCUUGAGUAUUUUACAUGUUUUCAUCAAAUCUUGCAAAGGUUUGAUUAGUUUUUAUGUUAUUUUGAAGGUUUUAAGCUAAAAACUCAAAGUUGUGACUUUUGGAGAGUUUGAAGAAGAGUUGCUUCAAAACUCCACGUUAGGAUCAUUCAUCUACUUGGUUGCAAAAGGUAAGUGAAGAUCCUGAACUUGUUUUUAUGAUUUUUGAUGGUUUUAUGGGGUUUUUGGAGAGAGUUGCAUGAAUAGGUUAAAAAGAGAGUUUUUGGUGAUUUUUGUGAGAAAAGCUUGUUUGUGUGAUAUGUGCUUUGUGUUGUUGGGGUUUUUAGGUAGUGUUUGACCCCUUUGAGCAUAUACAUGAGUGUAUGCAAGUUGAGGAAGUGAGGUGUGAAGUUGGAGAGGAGUUUGGUGCAUUUGGCGAGAGGCAGGGCAAGUUUCUGCCCUGCUGAUGAACUCAGGUUUGGCCGCCGAAGGUAUAUUCGGCCGCCGAACCCCUGACAAGGUGAGAGGAGGUGGCUUCGGCUGCCCAAGCUUGCCCCCGAGCUUUUGGACUUUCGGCUCUGGAGGGAAGUUCGGCCGCCGAAGGUGCCGUCGAAGGUUAGAGACUUUCGUCUCUGGAGUGCCUUUCAGCCUCCGAAACUUGCCCCUGAAAGGGUUCGGCUGCCGAAAGUAGAGAUUCGGCCGCCAAAGGUGCAUGAGUUUCGUCUCUGGAGAGGACUUUCGGCCGCCGAACCUGCCGCCGAAAGUGUUCUGUCCAGCUUUUCUUUUGCAUGCUUUGCAUGAGUUUUAGAGUGAGUUUAAGGGGAUUCUUGGGGAGUUUAAUAGAGUUAUUCUUAAGCUAGGUUGGUCCCUCAUUUGAGUCUUUCUGUGCUUACACAGAUCAGAGGACCCAGAGAGAGCAGCAGUGAGUGCUGCUCCAGAGUGUUCAGAGCCUGCAGAGUCAGUUCAGAUAGCCAGAGGUGAGUGGAACUAAACUUAACUCUUUUAAUUGACCAAUGGAAUGUUUUAGCAUAUUUCAUGCAUCAGGAUUAUGCAAUAGGUUGAUUGCAUUAGUAUCCACGAAUAUGUUGCAUUGCAUAGUUAUUUGUUGAUGUGGGUGAAUGCUGAAUGAUCCAAUAGUCUCAAACAGGAAGUCCAGGAGCCUUUGACUACGCCCUGGCAGUUAUAGUAAAGACCAGGAGCCUUUGACUAUGCCCAGGCAAUGGUAAGUACAGAGGUGUUAUAUACACAUAUACAUAUAUGACAGGAAGACCAGGUGCUCGAUUCUACGCCCUGGCACAGAGUUACUGGGACUAUGUGGUGACAGGUUUACCUUUGAUGUGGAUUGUCUAGGAUAUGGUGCAUUCCAUGAGAUCAUGUUUUAAAUGAUAUGUUUUACUGUUCUACUCAAUGGCUAUAGAGCUCAUCCCACUCCCUUAACCCCAGUCUUGCAGGUUCAGUGUACAGUGUACAGACGGGAUCAGCAGAGUACAGGCAGAGUAAAGAGAGUUGUACUAGCUUAGAGUGGACAUGUAAAUUGAAAGAGAUGUAACAGUUGUGUAUACAGUUAGAAAUGUGCUUGACUUAGUGAUGUUUGUGUUGUAAAUCCUUUGUUAUGUACAUGAUCUGUAUAUGUAUAUAUGUUUUACUGUAUAUGAAAAACCAGGCUUAACAGGUAUGAGUUAACCCAUCUAGAGCAAGCUCUAGUCAGGGGUACAGAGUACAGAGUACAGAGUACAGAGAUAGUGCAUGCACAGGUUAAGCCUUGGUACAGAGAAAAGAGUUUUUAUUUUCACAUAAAAUGUAUGAUCAUGUAUGAGAUUUACAGGUACACAGAGAGUAUAGCAGGCUUGCUACGAGUUCUGGCGGCCUUAAGCCGACCUGAAUCCUAGCGCCGGUGACGGUCCAUUUUGGGGUCAUUACAGAUUGGUAUCAGAGCCCUAGGUUCACAUGAUCGGACCUAUAGAAAGAGUGUCGGGCUCAUAGAAGUUACAGUUGAUCAAGCACAAUUGGAAAGCAUGUCCACUAGGAUAGGGUGUUGAGUCCUAUCUGUUUGCUGCCAUGAGUUAUGCAUGUGCAUUCUUGAGAUGUGAUGUUUAUGUGCUAAAGUGUUAUCUUCUGUUUUGUUUUCCAGAGAGUAAAGAUGCGAGGAACUCGUCGAUCAGCUCGAUUGAUUGGAGUCCCACUAGAUAGUGAGAGACCAACUGCUCGUCCUCCUGCAUUGCCAAGGGCAAGGUCUCAGAGAUCUAGCAGGGAAGGUAUGUCAAUAGACCCUAGAAGGUCUGUCGACAAGAGCAGAAGGGGAACAGCUAGGGGAGGCAGAUCAGAGGAAAUGAGGGAGGCUAUGGAGAUUGACCAGUCUAGAGAUGACAGCAUGGGUGUAGGCAGAUUUGAGGAAGGUAUGGGAGAGUCGCAGGGAGGUGUGCAGACCUCAGGUUUUGGCUAUCCAGCCUUUCCGCAGGACCCAUAGUAUCCGAUGGGAGGUAUGUCGGAGUACUCUAGUUUUGUCCCAUAUCCUCCUUACAUGCCAUAUAUGCAUUAUCCUCCUUAUUAUCCACCAUAUCCUAUGUAUCCACCUUCCCCUACCCAUCCAAGUGCAGCACAUCCAGAGCCAAAUGACCCAGUACCACCACCAGAACCAGUAGCCCCUGUUGUUGACAGACAUCAACCUAGCUCAUCUGGAGGUAAAGUGCAAAUGACAGAGUACUUGAAAUUGGAUGCUCCUAAAUAUAAUAUGGGAGAUGAUCCAUUUGAAUACCUCCGAUCAGUUAGGAUGAUAACCAGUGAAUUGGGAGCUGAUGAUAGUAGGGCCAUUGAGAUGGCAGGGUUUACACUCAAAUGUAAGAAAGCCAGAGAAUGGUUUAAGAACUAUAUGGAGCCCAGGAUCGACAAUAUGUCAUGGGGAGAGUUCGCCAAUGAGUUUGCAGGGUGGGCUUUUCCUGAUAGCUCCAGAGAGAUGAAAGUAAUAGAAUUUGAACAGUUGCGCCAGACAGACAAAAUGAGUGUUGAUGACUUCACAGAUAAGUUCCUGGAUUUGCUUCAGUAUGUGGGUCAAGCCUAUGAUACUGAGCAGAAGAAGGCAAGGAGAUAUACUAUGAGAUUGCAUCCCAGGUAUUCUUCCUUGAUUCUUCCAGCAGAAAAGGAGAGUUUCCACACUAUAGUGGACGCAGCCAGGAAAAUGGAAGCUAAUGCCAAUAUGCAGAAACAGUCAAAGGCGCAGGCUUCGGGUUCUAAGGCCCCCAAUUCAGCACCUUCAGGCAGCAAGAGAUGGGAUAGAGCAAAAGGAACAAAGAGUAAGUUCUGGAAUAGAGUCAAGUCAGGUCUGGGAAUAGGUAGUGGCUCAAGCUCUGGCACAGCUCCAGUAUGCAGAAGAUGCGGAAGACCACAUAGAGGAGCUUGUCGGUUGGGAUCUACAGCUUGUUUUAAAUGUGGACAGGAAGGGCAUAUUGCUCGGGAUUGUCCUCAGGUGACUUUUGUACCAUCCCAGCAGAUGAGUUCAGGCAGUGUGGUACAGCCAGUUGUACAACCAGCAACUCCAGUCAUGCCUCAGAGUAGUGGCAGAGGUAGAGGGAGAGGGGCAGCCUCUACUUCAGCAGCAGGUUCCCGAGGUGGAAAUCCGGUAGCCCCAGCAUAGAUUUUCACUGUGACACAGGAGGAGGCUAACACGUCGAAAACAGUGGUGUCAGGUAAUCUCAUCAUUGGGUGUUCAGAUGUGUAUGCUUUGAUGGACCCCGGUGCUUCUCAUUCCUUUAUUGCUUCGAGAGCCAUAGAGAGAUUGGGUUUGAUCAGUUCUGAGUUAGAGUAUCCUCUCUGGGUCAGUGGACCCAAAUGUGACCCAUCAGUGACAAUGUCAGUCUGUCGUUUCAGUCCAGUGUUUAUAGAGGGUAGAUGCCUUCCAGCUGACCUUGUGGUUCUAGACUUGACAGAUUUUGAUGUCAUUCUAGGGAUGGAUUGGCUAUCUGCAUAUAGUGCUACUUUGGACUGUAGAGAGAAGAUAGUUAGUCUCAGAGACCAGGAUGGGUCAGAGUGUGUCUUCAGAGGAGACAGGAGAGGUACACCCAGAGGUUUGAUUUCAGCCCUUCAGGCUCGUCGUUUGCUUAGGAGGGGUUGUUAGGGGUUUCUAGCUCAUGUGAGAGAGCUAGACAGUCAGGUUAGGGAACCAGCCACAGUACCAGUAGUCCGAGAGUAUCUCGAUGUGUUCCCAGACGAUUUACCAGGACUACCACCUGAUAGGGAGAUAGGGUUUGAAAUCGAAUUGCUGCUAGGUACCAGACCUAUCUCUAUUCCUCCCUACAGGAUGGCGCCAGCAGAGUUAAAAGAGUUGAAAGAACAGUUGCAGGAUUUGGUAGAUAAGGGUUUCAUCUGCCCUAGUACCUCACCUUGGGGUGCUCCAGUGCUUUUUGUUAGAAAGAAGGAUGGAUCUCUCAGACUUUGUAUCGACUACAGACAGUUGAACAAGGUCACUACCAAGAAUAGGUAUCCUCUACCUCGGAUUGAUGAUCUAUUCGACCAGCUAGCUAGAGCAGGUUGUUUCUCUAAAAUAGAUCUGAGAUCCGGGUAUCAUCAGUUGAGAGUUAGAGAGGCAGAUGUGCCUAAAACAGCUUUCAGGACCAGAUAUGGGCAUUAUGAGUUCUUAGUGAUGCCGUUCGGGUUGACUAACGCCCCUGCAGCAUUCAUGGAUCUCAUGAACAGAGUUUUCGGUGAGUUUCUGGAUCACUUUGUCAUUGUUUUCAUUGAUGAUAUAUUAGUGUAUUCCAGAGAUGCAGAGGAGCAUGCCCAGCAUCUGAGGAUAGUUCUGCAGACACUAAGAGAGCAUGGUUUGUAUGCCAAGUGCUCUAAGUGUGAGUUUUGGUUGAGGAGCAGACCCCAAGAAGAUAGAGGCUGUAGCUAACUGGCCCAGACCCACUACAGUGACUGAGAUUAAAAGUUUUCUGGGACUGGCAGGUUACUACAGGAGGUUCGUUCAGAACUUCUCAAAGAUAGCGGCUCCUAUGACCAAACUGACUCAAAAGAACCAGAAGUUUAUCUGGUCAGACCAGUGCGAAGAGAGCUUUGAGGAGCUCAAGAGAAGAUUGACAUCAGCACCAGUGCUCGCUCUGCCUAUUAGUGACGAGGAUUUCACAGUGUUCUGUGACGCAUCUCGAGUGGGAUUGGGUUGUGUUUUGAUGCAGAGUGAUAGGGUGAUUGCUUAUGCUUCUAGACAGUUGAAGAAGCACGAGGUAAAUUACCCCACCCAUGACCUAGAGAUGGCAGCAGUUAUCUUUGCACUUAAGAUGUGGAGGCAUUACCUCUACGGAGUAAAAUGCGAGAUCUUCACCGAUCAUAAGAGUUUACAGUACAUCUUGAGUCAGAGAGAGCUGAAUUUGAGGCAGAGAAGAUGGGUGGAAUUGCUCAGUGAUUAUGAUUGUAAGAUCCAGUAUCAUCCGAGUAAGGCGAAUGUUGUGGCAGACGCCCUAAGCCGGAAGUCACUAGGCAGUUUAUCCCAUAUAGCAGCAGAGCGGAGACCAGUUGUUAUGGAGCUUUACAAACUCUUAGAGGAAGGAUUACAGUUAGAAUUGUCUGGUACAGGUGCAUUGAUCGCACAGAUGAGAGUGACACCUGUGUUUCUGGAGCAGAUAGCGCAGAAACAGUACGAGGACCUAGAGUUGAUGAAAAUUGCCAGGACUGUUCAAUCAGGCAACAGUGCAGAGUUUAGAAUUGACAGCAAAGGGAUCCUCCGUUAUGGGAGUCGACUUUGUGUACCAGAUAGGAGCAGUAUGAAGGAAGACAUUAUGAGGGAAGCUCAUAAUGCGCGGUAUAGUGUUCACCCAGGAGCCACCAAGAUGUAUCAAGAUUUGAAAAGGGUCUAUUGGUGGCCAGCCAUGAAGAAAGAAGUGGCGUAGUUUGUGACAGCCUGUGAGGUUUGUCAACGGGUGAAACUAGAGCAUCAGAAGCCGGCUGGAAUGCUUAACCCACUGCCGAUACCAGAAUGGAAAUGGGAGAACAUAGCUAUGGAUUUUGUAGUGGGUUUACCGGCAGCGUCCAAUAGGAUAAACUCUAUUUGGGUGAUUGUGGACAGACUCACGAAAUCUGCUCAUUUUCUUCCAGUACGGAGUAACUAUUCUGUGGAUAAGUUGGCACAGGUCUAUCUGGAUGAGAUAGUGAGAUUACAUGAAAUUCCAGUGUCUAUAGUCUCAGACAGAGGACCUCAGUUUACCUCCGAAUUUUGGCGAAGUUUGCAGAGUGCGAUGGGCACGAGGUUGGAUUUUAGCACUGCUUUCCACCCACAGACUGAUGGACAGUCAGAGAGGACCAUCCAGACCAUAGAGGAUAUGCUUCGACUGUGUGUGUUAGACUUUGGCGGUUCUUGGAGGCAGCAUCUACCUCUAGUGGAGUUUGCCUACAAUAACAGCCAUCAUGCUAGCAUAGGGAUGGCUCCUUAUGAAGCUUUGUAUGGGCGGAAGUGCAGAUCCCCUGUUUGCUGGGAAGAAAUAGGAGAGAAGGCUCUUGCAGGGCCAGAGUUAGUAGAGAUUACCAGUAGAGUGGUGCCCAUGAUCAGAGAGAGAAUCAGAACAGCUCAGAGCAGACAGAAAAGUUACGCAGACGUUCGCAGAAAGCAGUUAGAGUUUCAGGAGGGUAGUAUGGUAUUACUGAAGGUGUCUCCAAUGAAAGGCGUGGUUCAUUUUGGGAAGAAAGGUAAGUUAGCUCCACGAUACAUUGGACCCUUUGAGAUUUUGCAGAGGAUCGAAAAUGUGUCAUAUAAGCUAGAUUUACCUGCGUCUAUGGAGAGAAUUCACCCGGUAUUUCAUGUUUCUAUGCUACGGCAGUUUGUGUCAGAUCCGAAUCAGGUUCUGAGUGAGCCUGAGGUGGAGAUUCGUACAGAUCUCACCUAUAUAGAGCAGCCAGUGCGGAUUCUGGACACACAGAUCAGACAGCUAAGGAACAAAGAGAUCCCAAUGGUGAAAGUUCUGUGGAACCACCAUAAUCUAGAAGAAUGUACCUGGGAGACGCGGGAGUCUAUGCUCCAGCAGUAUCCAUAUUUGUUUUGAGGUUAGUUUCCUCCUUUUUAUGUGUUUAUGGUUUGUUUUCGGAACAUUCGAGGAUGAAUGUUCUUAAUGGGGGGAGAAUGUAAUACCCGGCUAGAGUCCGGCAUCGGAAUUCUACUUUUCGGUGGAAUCCGGGAUGUCAGAAGUCUCUAGAAGGGGUAGAUUUCUAUUUUUCUACCAUGUUUUGAUAUGUUUCAUAGUUUUAAAGCCUAAGGAAAUGAGUUUUUGAAUGAAAUGAACCAAGGCAGAAAAGCCAGGUUCGGCCGCCGAAGUUGAGGUUCGGCCGCCGAACAUGCAUGGCUUUCGGUUUCAUGAUAGGCCGCCGAAGGUGGUCUAGCCAGCCACCUAUAAAAGGCCCUCAGUUUGUUGAAAGGAUAAGCUUCGCCGCUUCCUUUCGAUUUCUGAGGUGAGACUCUGUCCUUCUUGAGUAUUUUACAUGUUUUCAUCAAAUCUUGCAAAGGUUUGAUUAGUUUUUAUGUUAUUUUGAAGGUUUUAAGCUAAAAACUCAAAGUUGUGACUUUUGGAGAGUUUGAAGAAGAGUUGCUUCAAAACUCCACGUUAGGAUCAUUCAUCUACUUGGUUGCAAAAGGUAAGUGAAGAUCUUGAACUUGUUUUUAUGAUUUUUGAUGGUUUUAUGGAGUUUUUGGAGAGAGUUGCAUGAAUAGGUUAAAAAGAGAGUUUUUGGUGAUUUUUGUGAGAAAAGCUUGUUUGUGUGAUAUGUGCUUUGUGUUGUUGGGGUUUUUAGGUAGUGUUUGACCCCUUUGAGGACCCAGAUCAGAGGACCCAGAGAGAGCAGCAGUGAGUACUGCUCCAGAGUGUUUAGAGCCUGUAGAGUCAGUUCAGAUAGCCAGAGGUGAGUGGAACUAAACUUAAAUCUUUUAAUUGACCAAUGGAAUGUUUUAGCAUAUUUCAUGCAUCAGGAUUAUGCAAUAGGUUGAUUGCAUUAAUAUCCACGAAUAUGUUGCAUUGCAUAGUUAUUUGUUGAUGUGGGUGAAUGCUGAAUGAUCCAAUAGUCUCAGACAGGAAGUCCAGGAGCCUUUGACUACGCCCUGGCAGGUAUAGUAAAGACCAGGAGCCUUUGACUACGCCUUGGCAGGUAUAGUAAAGACCAGGAGCCUUUGACUACGCCCUGGCAAUGGCAAGUACAGAGGUGUUAUAUACACAUAUACAUAUAUGACAGGAAGACCAGGUGCUCGAUUCUACGCCCUGGCACAGAGUUACUGGGACUAUGAGGUGACAGGUUUACCUUUGAUGUGGAUUGUCUGUGAUAUGGUGCAUUCCAUGAGAUCAUGUUUUAAAUGAUAUGUUUUACUGUUCUACUCACUGGGCUAUAGAGCUCAUCCCACUCCCUUAACCCCAGUCUUGCAGGUUCAGUGUACAGUGUACAGACGGGAUCAGCAGAGUACAGACAGAGUAAAGAGAGUUGUACUAGCUUAGAGUGGACAUGUAAAUUGAAAGAGAUGUAACAGUUGUGUAUACAGUUAGAAAUGUGCUUGACUUAGUGAUGUUUGUGUUGUAAAUCCUUUGUUAUGUACAUGAUCUGUAUAUGUAUAUAUGUUUUACUGUAUAUGAAAAACCAGGCUUAACAGGUAUGAGUUAACCCAUCUAGAGCAAGCUCUAGUCAGGGGUACAGAGUACAGAGUACAGAGUACAGAGAUAGUGCAUGCACAAGUUAAGCCUUGGUACAGAGAAAAGAGUUUUUAUUUUCACAGAAAAUGUAUGAUCAUGUAUGAGAUUUACAAGUACACAGAGAGUAUAGCAGGCUUGCUACGGGUUCUGGCGGCCUUAAGCCGACCUGAAUCCUAGCGCCGAUGACGGUCCAUUUUGGGGUCGUUACAGUAACGGUCCGGAUUUCGGGUCGUUACAGAUUGGUAUCAGAGCCCUAGGUUCAUAUGGUCAGACCUAUAGAGAAUGUCGGGCUCAUAGAUGUUAUAGAAGGUCAAGCACAAUAGGAAAAUCAUGUCCACUAGGAUAGGAUGUAGAGUCCUGUCUUGAAUGAUGAUGUGAAAUGCCAUGAUUAUAUGCAUGUGCAUUAAAGAUAUGCUAUGUAUGUGAUGUAUGUGAUGCGGGUUCAUGUGUUUGCAUAUGAACCAUUUGAUGCUAAUGUUUAUGUAAUGUGUGAUGUUUUACAGUAAACAGGAUGAAGGGAACUUGUCGAUCUGCACGAUUGACUGGAGUACCACCGGAGGAUGAGGGCAUGAGUGCCCGUUCCCCUGCAUUGCCAAGGGCAAUGUCUAGCAGGUCUAGCAAGGAAAGAGCAGUGAGAGACCCUAGAAGGUCUUUGGAUAUGAACAGAAGCAGGUCAGUAAGGGGAACAGUGCAAAGAGGAAUGUCAGAGAAUGUGGGGGAUGAUAUGGAUGUGGAUCAAAGGAGGGAUGGCAGUCUUGGAGUGAGUAUGUCGGAGGAGGGUAUGGGAGAGUCCCAAGGAGGCACUCAGGCCUCGGGAUUUGUUCAGCCACCUCAGUACCCACCCUUUUCUCAGAAUCCCGGGUAUUCGAUGGGAGGUACAUCGGAUUACGCCAGCUUUAACCCUUAUCACUCCCACAUGCCAUACCCACCUUUCUACCCACCAUACCCACAGUACCCUAUGUACCCACCCCCAUCCGUCUACCCAGGUACAACAAACCCUACCCCAGGGGAUGCUGCACCUCCUUCACCACCAGCAGUACCUACUAUACCAGAAACCCAAAUGCCUAAACCUAGCUCAUCUGGAGGGAGCAAGGUCAAGAUGACCGAUUACAUAAAGCUGGGUGCUCCCCAGUUUGAAACCGGUGAUGACCCGUUUGUGUAUCUUGAGAGGGUCAGAACGAUUACAGAUGAGAUAGGAGCUGAUGACAGUAGAGCCAUUCAGAUGGCUGGGUUCACACUAAAGUGCAAGAAGGCCCGUGAGUGGUUCAAGAACUAUGUGAAUCCGAGGUUGGAUAGUCUUUCAUGGGAGGAGUUUGCGAACGAGUUUGCAGGAUGGGCUUUCCUUGACAGUUCAAGGGAGUUGAAGAUGAUUGAAUUUGAGCAGUUGAGGUAGACAUAUGAGAUGAGUGUGGAUGAGUAUACAGACAGAUUCUUGGAGCUGUUGCCGUUUGCUGGGCAGAAUCUGGACACAGAUCAGAAGAAGUCAAGGAGGUAUAUCAUGAGGCUCCAUUCCAGGUAUUCCUCCUUGAUUCAGUCAUCAGAGAGGGAGAGUUUCCAUGCCAUAGUGGAUAUGGCUCGGAGGAUGGAGGCUAGUGCAAUAAUCGAAGGGAAAGUCAAGCUGUCAGUGGCACAGCCUUCUGGUUCCAAGACCCCAGAUGGGGGAAAGUUAGACCCUUCUUCUCUGAGUUUAGGCAGUAAGAGGUGGGGUAAUACCACCAAGAAGCCAAAGAAGAACAAGUUCUGGAACAAGAUCAAGUCAGGUCUGGGAUUAGGAGGUGGCUUGAGCUCAGGUGCAGAUAAUGCAGUAUGUAGGAAGUGUGGAAAGCCGCACAAGGGUGUAUGUCUGGUUGGGACGAUAGCCUGCUUCAGAUGUGGGCAGGAGGGACACAUGGCACGGGAGUGUCCUAGAGCAGCUUUUAUGGCGCAGUCUCAGCAGACAGCCUCUGGUAGUGUGGCUCAACCAGUAGCUCCAACCGCGACUCAGGCUAGUGGCAGAGGCCGAGGGAGAGGGGCAGCCUCUUCUUCAGCGGGUUUCAGGAGUGAAGGUCCAUCAGCUCCAGCACGGAUCUUCACUAUGACUCAGCAGGAGGCAAAUGCAUCAAACACCAUGGCCUCAGGUAAUCUCAUCAUUGGUUGUUCUGAUGUUUAUGCCUUAAUGGACCCUGGUGCAUCGCAUUCUUUCAUUGCUCUGAGGGCCGUCGAGAGGUUGGGAUUGAUGGUCUCUGGGUUAGAGUGUCCCCUAUGGGUCAGUGGACCCAAAUGUUACCCGUCAGUGGCAGAGUCAGUCUGCCAGUGUAGUCUAGUUUUUGUGGAGGGAAGAUGCCUUUCUGCUGACCUUGUGGUUCUAGAUUUGACAGAUUUUGACGUCAUUCUAGGGAUGGAUUGGCUAUCUACCCAUGGUGCUACCUUGGAUUGCAGAGACAAGGUAGUCAGGUUAAGAUGUCAGGAUGGGUCAGAGGUUGUCUUCAGUGGAGACAGGGGGAGUACACCUAGAGGUUUGAUAUCAGCCCUUCAGGCUCGUAGGUUGCUCAGGAGGGGUUGUCAGGGUUUUCUAGCUCAUGUGAGAGAGCUGGAUAGUCAUGUCAGAGAGCCCGCCUCAAUGCCCGUGGUCAGUGAGUUCUUAGACGUGUUCCCAGACGAACUGCCAGGUUUACCACCUGCUAGGGAGAUAGAGUUCGAAAUUGAGUUGAUGCCUGGAACCAGACCGAUCUCUAUCCCUCCCUACAGGAUGGCACCAACAGAAUUGAAGGAGCUUAAGGAGCAGUUACAAGAGCUGGUAGAUAAGGGCUUCAUCCGCCCGAGUACCUCACCUUAGGGUGCUCCAGUGCUGUUUGUGGAAAAGAAAGAUGGAUCCCUUAGACUUUGUAUCGACUACAGGCAGUUGAACAAAGUCACUACCAAUAAUAAGUACCCGUUGCCAAGGAUCGACGAUCUAUUCGACCAGCUAGCAGGAGCAGGUUGUUUCUCCAAAAUAGAUCUGAGAUCUGGGUACCAUCAGCUGAGGAUAAGAGAAGAGGAUGUACCGAAGACAGCAUUCAGGACCAGAUAUGGGCACUAUGAGUUCCUUGUGAUGCCGUUCGGGUUAACCAAUGCCCCUGCAGCAUUCAUGGAUCUCAUGAACAGAGUAUUUAGCCAAUACCUGGAUCACUUUGUUAUUGUCUUCAUAGAUGAUAUCUUAGUGUAUUCUAGGAAUGCAGAGGAGCAAGCCCAUCAUCUGAGGUUGGUUUUGUAGACCUUGAGGGAACACGACUUGUAUGCCAAGUUCUCCAAGUGUGAAUUCUGGCUGAGGAGCAUUUCAUUCUUGGGGCAUGUGGUGUCAGAAAAUGGAAUCGAGGUAGACCCCAAGAAAGUGGAAGCUGUAGCUAACUGGCCUAGACCCACUACGGUGACAGAGAUCAAGAGCUUCUUGGGUUUGGCAGGUUACUACAGGAGGUUCGUCCAGGACUUCUCUAAGAUUGCAGCUCCUAUGACCAGACUGACUAAGAAGAACCAGAGGUUUGUGUGGACCGACCAGUGUGAAGAAAGCUUUGAGGAGCUCAAGAAGAGGUUGACUUCAGCACCAGUGUUAGCUCUGCCAACUAGUAAUGAAGACUUCACGGUUUUAUGUGAUGCGUCCCGUGUGGGACUGGGUUGUGUGCUGAUGCAAAAUGAAAGGGUGAUUGCUUAUGCUUCUAGGCAGCUGAAGAAGCACAAGUUGAAUUACCCUACACAUGACCUAGAGAUGGCAGCGGUAAUCUUUGCACUCAAGAUGUGGAGGCAUUACCUUUAUGGGGUAAAAUGUGAGAUCUUCACAGAUCAUAAAAGCCUGCAGUACAUCCUGAGUCAGAGAGAGCUGAAUUUGAGGCAGAGAAGAUGGGUAGAACUGCUCAGUGACUAUGAUUGCAAGAUUCAGUACCAUCCGGGUAAGGCGAAUGUUGUGGCAGACGCCUUAAGCCGGAAAUCACUUGGCAGUUUAUCCCAUAUUUCAACAGAGAGGAGGCCAGUAGUGAGGGAGUUCUUCGAGCUCAUUAAUGAAGGGUUGCAGUUGGAGUUGUCUGGUACAGGUGCUUUGAUUGCCCAGAUGAGAGUGGCACCCAUGUUUCUGGAGCAGGUGGCUCAGAAACAGCACGAGGACCCAGAGUUAGUGAAAUUGCCAGGACUGUUCAGUCAGGCAAAAAUGAAGAGUUCAGGUUUGACAGUAAGGGGAUCCUCCGCUAUGGGAAUAGAUUAUGUGUACCAGAUGACGUGGGACUGAAGGGAGACAUUAUGAGAGAGGCUCAUAAUGCCAGAUACAGUGUUCACCCUGGAGCCACCAAAAUGUAUUAAGAUCUGAAGAGAGUUUAUUGGUGGCCAGCUAUGAAAAGAGAAGUGGCACAGCUCGUGUCAGCCUGCGAAGUAUGUCAGAGGGUGAAGCUGGAACAUCAGAAGCCGGCUGGAAUGCUUAACCCACUACCUAUUCCAGAGUGGAAAUGGGAGAAUAUUGCUAUGGACUUCGUGGUGGGGUUACCGGCAGCGUCCAACAGAUUAGACUCCAUAUGGGUGAUUGUGGACAGACUAACGAAAUCUGCUCACUUUAUCCCUGUCAGGAGUGGCUAUUCUGUGGACAAGUUGGCGCAGGUGUAUGUUGAUGAGGUUGUCAGGCUGCAUGGGGUUUCUGUUUCAAUAGUGUCUGAUAGAGGACCCCAGUUCACCUCCAGGUUUUGGCGGAGUCUGCAGAACGCUAUGGGUACCAGGUUGGAUUUCAGCACUGCUUUCCAUCCUCAGACGGACGGACAAUCAGAGAGGAUCAUCCAAACAAUAGAGGAUAUGCUCAAAAUGUGUGUGCUGGAUUUUGGCGGUUCUUGGAGGCAGCAUCUACCUUUGGUGGAGUUUGCCUACAAUAACAGCCAUCAUGCUAGCAUAGGGAUAGCCCCAUAUGAAGCUUUGUAUGGAAGGAAGUGCAGGUCGCCUGUCUGUUGGGAAGAAGUUGGAGAAAAGGCCUUGGCAGGGCCUGAGUUAGUAGAAAUCACCAGCAGAGUGGUGCCCAUAAUCAGAGAAAGGAUCAAGACUGCUGCGAGUAGACAGAAGAGUUAUGCAGACAUCCGCAGAAGGCAGGUAGAGUUUCAGGAGGGGGAUUUGGUAUUGCUCAAAGUGUCUCCAAUGAAAGGGGUGAUUCGGUUCGGGAAGAAAGGUAAGCUAGCUCCACGGUACAUCGGACCCUUUGAGAUCUUGCAGAAGAUCGGGAAUGUAUCGUACAAGUUGGACUUACCUGCUUCUAUGGAAAGAAUCCAUCCGGUUUUCCAUGUUUCUAUGCUACGAAAGUUUAUGUCAGAUCCGGAUAAGGUUCUUAGUGAGCCUGAUGUGGAGGUCCAAGAGGAUCUCACUUAUGUUGAACAGCCAGUACGGAUUCUUGACACUCAGAUCAGAAAGUUGAGAAACAAGGAGAUCCUGAUAGUGAAAGUCCUUUGGAAUCACCACAACAUCGAAGAGUGUACCUGGGAGACACGGGAGUCCAUGCUCCAGCAAUAUCCUCAUCUCUUCUAAAGUGAGUUUUAUGUGCUUUGUAUGUAUGUUUAUGUUUUAUGCUAUGUUUUAUGCCAUGCUCUAUUUGUUUGGUGAACAUUCGGGGACGAAUGUUCUUAAAGGGGGAAGAAUGUAAUACCCGGCUAGACUCCAGUAUCGGAAUUCCUACCGUCCGGUGGAAUCUCGGAUGUCGAAAACCUCUAGAAGGGUAAAACCAUGUUUUCAUAAAAUGUUUUAAUGUAUUUUAUGGUUUUAAGCAAGAAAGGAAAUGAGUUUUGUAUGAAAAUAGCCUUGGAGGAAAAACUCAGGUUCGGCCGCCGAACCUCAAGUUCGGCUGCCGAACAUGCAUGCGCUUUGGGAGUGCUCUAGGCCCCCGAAGGCAUAAGUGAGGGAAGUCUAGGUUCGGCCGCCGAACCUUAUGUUCGGCCGCCGAACAUGGCAUGCAUGCGGAGGCACGUUAGGCCCCCGAAAGUGGCCUGGCCAGCCACCUAUAAAGGGGUCCCCAUGUCCGAACGGGUGAGCUUUUCUCCCCGUUUUCGGCCAAGGUGAGUUCUCCGCCGUCCCUCAUCGAUUUUGAGCUUCUUCCUUCGAAUCUUUAUGAUUUUCUUAUGAGUUUUCACUUGGUUUGAAGAUAUUUGAGCAAAAGAGCAAGUUUUGAAGCUUGGAGACCAAAGAGGUGAUUUAUCCCCAUCUCCAAGCUAGGAUCGUCUUUCCUCUCGAUCUCCAAGAGGUAAGCUUAGAUCCAACCUUCCUUGUAUGUUUUAAGCAAGUUUUAUGAAGAUUUAUGGGGUAGAAAUGCAUGUUUAGGUUAUUGUUGAGUUUAUGGGUUUAUGUUAUGUGUAUGAGCAAUGUGGGUAGUAUGUGUACGUUUGAUGUGUUUUGGUUGGGGUUUAGGAUAGUUUGAGACCCCUAUAUACUUGUUGGCCUCUGUUUGCUUGUUGUAGAAUAAGUAAAUGCAUGUGUGAUUGGAUUGGGAGGUUUUUUAUGCAUGAAAGAGGCUGAGUUCUGCCCUUGGGAAGAACUCAGGUUCGGCAGCCGAAGGCUCUUUCAGCUGCCGAACCUGCCUGUGGAGGCCAACUUUUGGCUGCCGAACCUUGCCCUCGAAAGUGGACUUUCGAUUCUGGAAGGGAGUUUCGGCCGCCGAAGGUGCCGCUGAACAUGCAUGAGUUUUGUCUCUGGAGGGAACCUUCGGCCGCCGAAAGUGCCGCAGAAGGUGCAUGACUUUCGGCUCUGGAGGGACUUUCGGCCGCCGAACCUGCCGCCGAAAGUGCCCUGUGCAGCCCUCCUUUGCAUGUUUUCUAUGAUUGUUUUGAGGUGUUUUAGGGGGAUUUUGGGGAGUAUUUUGAGUCAUGUUCUUGGAUGUUUGGUCCUUCAUUUGAGUCCACCUGUGUAGGUUCGGACCCGAGGAACCGAGGGCCCCAGCAGUGAGUUAGCAGCUUUACAGUCAGCCUGAGGUGAGUAGAAUAAACCUUUAUGUUUUAAUUUAAUGAAAGUUUUUGCAUAACUCAUGCAUCACGAAUGCCAUGUGAUAUUCUAGGUUGUUGCAUUAGAAAUUCACGAAUAUGUUGCAUUGCAUAUUAUGUUUUUGAUGUGGAUGAAUGUUGAAUGAUCCAUUAGUCCUUGUAUGUUAUGGUAUGAUAUGAUGAUGAUAUGGUUUGGAAGUCCAGGAAGACCCAUUCUACGUCCCUGGCACUAUGUAAGAGAAAGUCCAGGAAGACCCAUUCUACGUCCCUGGCACUAUGUAAGAGAAAGUCCAGGAAGACCCAUUCUACGUCCCUGGCACUAUUGGAUAUGUAGAGGACUAUUGGUGACAAGUUCAUCCUUAAUGUGAUUUGUUUGUGAUGUGAUGCAUUUCAUGAAAGCAUGAACUUUUAAUAUAAUGUUUUAUUAUUCUGCUCACUGGGCUCUAGUAGCUCACCCCGUUUCCCUAAUCCCCCAGGUAUGUAGGUUCGGGAUAGGCCAGGAGGUCAAGAAGAGUAAAGUUUUGUCUAUGUAAUACUUAGAUGUGGACAUGAUAUAUUGUAAAGUACUAAACAGUUAUGUAAUGUAAUGAUGAGUAUGGAGGUUUAGAAUUGUGCUUGACCCUAGUAUGUUGUUAAUCCCUUUUUGGUUACAUGAUCUUUUAAUGAAAUGUUUUAUGAUAUUUAAGUUUAACCAAACUUUUAUGAUAUUAUGUUACCCCAUUGGAGCAUUGAUGAGGACUCCAAUGUGGGGUUGAUGAUUAUGAUCAUUAGUUGUGCAUGCACAGGUUGAGUUUGGCAAUUGAAUGAGAAAAGUUCAAAAUUUUUAUGUUUAUGAUUGAUCAUGUAUGGGAUUAAACAGGUUUUCAGGAUGUAUGUCAGGCUUGCUAUGGGUCCCGGCGGCCUUGUGCCGAUCUGGAUCCUAGCGCCGGUAACGGUCCGGAUUCUGGGUCGUUACAAGAACCAUAUCAUAGCUAUAACUCAUUUUGGCAUGUACAUAUACUAUGCAUAUACACAUACAUACUAUGACCUAGAACCGCCUAAACCUUUGCUCCGAUACCACUAAUUGUAACACCCAUUACCCUAUCAAAGUGUAGACAGAGCAAGGAAUAUCACAAACUAUGCCUCUUUUGAUAUAUCCAGACUAAACAAUUUCCUUUAUCUGUAAAUACCAAGUUUUAAGUAGUCCAAGCAAUUUUUAUAAGGUGAAUAAAGUAACUGUGAGAUUUUAAACCAAAAUGUAUUUUGGCAGAAUUUCCUCUAUUUCAUAAGCACUUUAACCUGUAAUACAUAUGAAAAUCACACUUAUAAUUACACUAACAACUGUCAUUUGAUAUAUUACUAUUCCUUGAUUUACAUAAUCUUUACAACUCACUCUAUUAAAUAUGUACAUGCCAAAAUAUAACUGUACUAUGACUCAAAACUCAAAACAACCAGCUAUGAUAAUGGCUUUGAUAUCUAAUGUAGAUCUCUGAUGAACUCCGCGUAUCUACUUUAUCUACAACCUGCGUGAGGUAAGAACCAACACGCUGAGCUAAUGCUCAGUGGGUGAUAGAAAACAAAUAACAAAAUAAAGCAAACAAGAUCACUUAUACAGAUAAUCAAGUAAACAAUUUCAAACUAAUCAAAAGUUGUUAACAUUCACUGAUAACUUCACAAAACAAGUGUCAACCUUAAUUAGGUCCUUAGCCCUUAUAACCACAUAGUAGGGUCGACUAGGUAGAUAAGGAAUUAUAACGGUAGGCACAGGGUGCCGAACGGUAGGCUCAGAGGCCAAAACUGUGAUAGCAGGGCUUUGUGGCCAUGCUUAUGAGGUACCUGAUAUGUAACCUCAAAUAUAGAUCAUGUAUCGGUAGCAGUACUGCGAACUCUGUAUGUUUAUAUGGCAUGCCAUACCCUUAAGCUAACCUCGACUCCUAUUACGUUUACCAGGGCCAAGUAUCAUUAAUUCAAUGUAAAUGCACAUCAUUUGAAGCUAUUUGAAUUCAUUUGCAAAAUACACAUAUCAUAUGUCAAAGUCAACAAGAUGAGAAAUUCAUGGCAAAUGGUGCAAAACUUUGUCAACAUAGCAUUCCAAUUUGAGAAAACUGCAUUCUGCCUUCCAAUUUGAGAAAACUGCAUUCUGCCUUAUAUUGCAUAAACUUUUCAAGUAGAUUAGAGUUACAAUUUGACUUCAGUUUCUUCAUAACAAAUGUACAUUUAUGUCUUAUCUUUCCAACAAGGUAUGGUUCAUGCAAUUCUGAACAUUCUAACUUAAGUUAUGAAUUUUUCUUUACAAGCUGCUCAAUAAGAUAUUAAACAGUCCAGUAUUGGUACCUGUUUAUAGUAUCACAAAACAUAUCAGAUUCAUGUAUUUUCAUACAAAUUCAAGCUUAAGUGUCUUCUACAAAGUUUUAGGUAUAUUUCUUAAGAUUCAUUUGGAACUUAUUUUAAUAAAUUUCACUGAGUACAUAAUUAAUUAUGGUACAAUCAAUACACACUGUUCCGAAUGCACUAACUCUGUGUCCAGUUUAGGUUCACUUGAAAUUUUCAUCAUCUUACCUACAGAUUCAGAAUUUGGUCAAUUCAUGAAAGUUUUAUAUCUUUGUCUCAGAUUUCAUUUGGUAUAUCUUAGG